AGAAUUCUAAGUUAAACUACUC
Molecule: transfer RNA, 22 nt
Filed under: Paracanthurus hepatus (palette surgeonfish)
Lineage: Eukaryota; Metazoa; Chordata; Actinopteri; Acanthuriformes; Acanthuridae
Description: partial tRNA-Pro
Source: RNAcentral